ACUCCUACGGGAGGCAGCAGUGAGGAAUAUUGGACAAUGGGCGCAAGCCUGAUCCAGCCAUGCCGCGUGCAGGAGACUGCCCUAUGGGUUGUAAACUGCUUUUAUACGGGAAGAAACACUCCCUCGUGAGGGAGCUUGACGGUACCGUAAGAAUAAGGAUCGGCUAACUCCGUGCCAGCAGCCGUGGUAAUACGGAGGAUCCAAGCGUUAUCCGGAAUCAUUGGGUUUAAAGGGUCCGUAGGUGGAUAAUUAAGUCAGAGGUGAAAUCCUGCAGCUCAACUGUAGAAUUGCCUUUGAUACUGGUUAUCUUGAGUCAUUAUGAAGUGGUUAGAAUAUGUAGUGUAGCGGUGAAAUGCAUAGAUAUUACAUAGAAUACCAAUUGCGAAGGCAGAUCACUAAUAAUGUACUGACACUGAUGGACGAAAGCGUGGGGAGCGAACAGGAUUAGAUACCCUGGUAGGAUAGCGU
This 468-nucleotide ribosomal RNA is filed under the name uncultured bacterium. RNAcentral describes it as "bacterial SSU rRNA". It matches the Rfam family "Bacterial small subunit ribosomal RNA", at positions 335 to 800 of the family's 1533-position model. The record is from RNAcentral.